This 1104-nucleotide ribosomal RNA is filed under the name uncultured Longilinea sp. Its description in RNAcentral is "bacterial SSU rRNA". It matches the Rfam family "Bacterial small subunit ribosomal RNA", at positions 369 to 1492 of the family's 1533-position model. Lineage: Bacteria; Bacillati; Chloroflexota; Anaerolineae; Anaerolineales; Anaerolineaceae. The record is from RNAcentral.
UUAAUGGCGAGCCUGACGGAGCACGCCGCGUGAGUGAGGAAGGCCUUCGGGUCGUAAAACUCUGACUUCAGGGAAGAAAAAAAUGACGGUACCUGAGGAGGAAGCCCCGGCUAACUACGUGCCAGCAGCCGCGGUAAAACGUAGGGGGCGAGCGUUGUCCGGAAUUACUGGGCGUAAAGGGCGCGUAGGCGGUUAUUUAAGUCAGAGGUGAAAACUACCGGCUCAACCGGUAGCCUGCCUUUGAAACUGGAUGACUUGAGGGCAGGAGAGGGGAGUGGAAUUCCCAGUGUAGCGGUGAAAUGCGUAGAUAUUGGGAGGAACACCAGUGGCGAAGGCGGCUCUCUGGCCUGUUUCUGACGCUGAGGCGCGAAAGCGUGGGGAGCAAACGGGAUUAGAUACCCCGGUAGUCCACGCCGUAAACGACGGGUGCUAGGUGUAGGAGGUAUCGACCCCUUCUGUGCCGUAGUUAACACAAUAAGCACCCCGCCUGGGGAGCACGGCCGCAAGGUUGAAACUCAAAGGAAUUGACGGGGGCCCGCACAAGCGGUGGAGCAUGUGGUUUAAUUCGACGCAACGCGAAGAACCUUACCAGGGCUUGACAUCCUCUGACCGCAUAUGAAAGUAUGUUUUCUGGCUUCGGUCAGACAGAGAGACAGGUGGUGCAUGGUUGUCGUCAGCUCGUGUCGUGAGAUGUUGGGUUAAGUCCCGCAACGAGCGCAACCCCUACGUUUAGUUGCUAACGUGUAACGAUGAGCACUCUAGGCGGACUGCCGUUGACAAAACGGAGGAAGGUGGGGAUGACGUCAAAUCAUCAUGCCCCUUAUGUUCUGGGCUACACACGUGCUACAAUGGCCGGUACAAAGGGACGCAAAGCCGCGAGGUGGAGCAAAUCCGAUAAAGCCGGUCUCAGUUCGGAUUGCAGGCUGCAUUCGCCUGCAUGAGUCGGAAUCGCUAGUAAUCGCAGGUCAGCAUACUGCGUGAUACGUUCCCGGGCCUUGUACACACCGCCCGUCACACCACGAAAGCGAGCAACACCGAGCGUGACUUACUUGAAGGAGAGGAGCUUGUCGAGGGUGGGGGUUGGGUGAUUGGGUGAGUCCUUAC